RNAcentral lists this ribosomal RNA (503 nucleotides) under uncultured bacterium. Its description in RNAcentral is "partial 16S ribosomal RNA". It matches the Rfam family "Bacterial small subunit ribosomal RNA", at positions 30 to 523 of the family's 1533-position model. The record is from RNAcentral.
AUUGAACGCUGGCGGCAGGCUUAACACAUGCAAGUCGAGCGGGGUGAUGGUGCUUGCACUAUCACUUAGCGGCGGACGGGUGAGUAAUGCUUAGGAAGCUGCCUAUUAGUGGGGGACAACAUCUCGAAAGGGAUGCUAAUACCGCAUACGUCCUACGGGAGAAAGCAGGGGAUCACUUGUGACCUUGCGCUAAUAGAUGAGCCUAAGGCGGAUUAGCUAGUUGGGGGGGUAAAGACCUACCAAGGCGACGAUCUGUAGCGGGUCUGAGAGGAUGAUCCGGCACACUGGGACUGAGACACGGCCCAGACUCCUACGGGAGGCAGCAGUGGGGAAUAUUGGACAAUGGGGGGAACCCUGAUCCAGCCAUGCCGCGUGUGUGAAGAAGGCCUUAUGGUUGUAAAGCACUUUAAGCGAGGAGGAGGCUCUUUUGGUUAAUACCCAAGAUGAGUGGACGUUACUCGCAGAAUAAGCACCGGCUAACUCUGUGCCAGCCGCCGCGGUAA